UACGUAGGUGACAAGCGUUGUCCGGAUUUACUGGGCGUAAAGAGCGCGCAGGCGGUCGAUCAAGUCGAGUGUGAAAGCCCCCGGCUCAACUGGGGAGGGUCAUUCGAUACUGAUCGACUCGAAGGCAGGAGAGGGUAGUGGAAUUCCCGGUGUAGUGGUGAAAUGCGUAGAUAUCGGGAGGAACACCAGUGGCGAAGGCGACUACCUGGCCUGUUAUUGACGCUGAGGCGCGAAAGCUAGGGGAGCAAACGGG
Molecule: ribosomal RNA, 253 nt
Filed under: uncultured bacterium
Lineage: Bacteria
Description: partial 16S ribosomal RNA
Rfam family: Bacterial small subunit ribosomal RNA
Source: RNAcentral